Molecule: ribosomal RNA, 301 nt
Filed under: uncultured bacterium
Lineage: Bacteria
Description: partial 16S ribosomal RNA
Rfam family: Bacterial small subunit ribosomal RNA
Source: RNAcentral
CAGUCGCCGCGGGAAAACGUAGGUGGCAAGCGUUGUCCGGAAUUAUUGGGCGUAAAGGGAGCGCAGGCGGACAUAUAAGUCCAUCUUAAAAGUGCGGGGCUCAACCCCGUGAGGGGAUGGAAACUGUAUGCCUUGAGUGCAGGAGAGGAAAGCGGAAUUCCCAGUGUAGCGGUGAAAUGCGUAGAUAUUGGGAGGAACACCAGUGGCGAAGGCGGCUUUCUGGACUGCAACUGACGCUGAGGCUCGAAAGCCAGGGGAGCGAACGGGAUUAGAUACCCCUGUAGUCCCUGUCUCUUAUACA